RNAcentral lists this long non-coding RNA (860 nucleotides) under Homo sapiens (human). RNAcentral describes it as "novel transcript". Lineage: Eukaryota; Metazoa; Chordata; Mammalia; Primates; Hominidae. The record is from RNAcentral.
ACUUCAUAGUCUCCGACGCACCUCCAAACCCUUUCUCCUGCUCUAGGCCCAGCGCCUUGGACGUGCACAGUAGAUCCCUCCCGGCUUCCCGGCUUCCCGUCUCGUCACCCUCUGCUCAGAACCUGAGGACGCAGCCAUGGAGCGGUCGGCCUUCAUGGAGCUGGAUGCUGGGAGCAGGCUGGUGAUGCAUCUCCGCGAGUGGCCAGCCCUGCUGGUCAGCAGCACGGGCUGGACAGAGUUUGAACAACUUACUCUUGAUGGACACAACCUUCCUUCUCUUGUCUGUGUGAUAACAGGGUCGGUGGACCUGGGUGUCUGUCUGCACAUGUCCUCCAGUGGCCUGGACCUGCCCAUGAAGGUGGUGGACAUGUUCGGGUGCUGUUUGCCUGUGUGUGCCGUGAACUUCAAGUGGUAGGAGCAGAACCCGAAUCUUUCUGGGGAUAGCUUCACAGAUCCACCGCUGAGGAGGAAACAGUGCAGAGCGAGCUGCCCACAUUUACAUGAGCUGGUGAAACAUGAAGAAAAUGGCCUGGUCUUUGAGGACUCAGAGGAACUGGCAGCUCUGCAGAUGCUUUUCUCAAACUUUCCUGAUCCUGCAGGCAAGCUAAACCAGUUUUGGAAGAACCUGCGGGAGUCGCAGCAGCUCCGAUGGGAUGAGAGCUGGGUGCAGACUGUGCUCCCUUUGGUUAUGGACAUACAACUCCUGGGCCAGAGGCUAAAACCCCGGGACCCCUGCUGUCCUUCCCGCAGCUUCUUCUCGGAGUCUCAGGGCAAACCCUUUUGAGCAGCGCCUCCCAGUGGCCAGAAGCUGAAAUGACGGCAGUGGUGCCGCCUGGUGAAUGAAUUGGUUCUGUGACCCG